Molecule: ribosomal RNA, 253 nt
Filed under: uncultured bacterium
Lineage: Bacteria
Description: partial 16S ribosomal RNA
Rfam family: Bacterial small subunit ribosomal RNA
Source: RNAcentral
UACGGGGGGUGCUAGCGUUAUUCGGAAUCAUUGGGCGUAAAGGGCGCGUAGGCGGUCUUUUAAGUCAGAUGUGAAAGCCCUCGGCUUAACCGAGGAAGUGCAUUUGAUACUAAGAGACUUGAGUAUGGGAGAGGGAAGCGGAAUUCCUGGUGUAGCGGUGAAAUGCGUAGAUAUCAGGAGGAACACCGGUGGCGAAGGCGGCUCACUGGCCCGUUUCUGACGCUCAGGCACGAAAGCGUGGGGAGCAAACAGG